Molecule: ribosomal RNA, 432 nt
Filed under: uncultured bacterium
Lineage: Bacteria
Description: partial 16S ribosomal RNA
Rfam family: Bacterial small subunit ribosomal RNA
Source: RNAcentral
AACGAACGCUGGCGGCAGGCCUAACACAUGCAAGUCGAGCGCACCCUUCGGGGUGAGCGGCGGACGGGUGAGUAACGCGUGGGAACGUGCCCUUCUCUGCGGAAUAGCCUCGGGAAACUGAGAGUAAUACCGCAUACGCCCUUUGGGAGAAAGAUUUAUCGGAGAAGGAUCGGCCCGCGUUGGAUUAGGUAGUUGGUGGGGUAAUGGCCCACCAAGCCGACGAUCCAUAGCUGGUUUGAGAGGAUGAUCAGCCACACUGGGACUGAGACACGGCCCAGACUCCUACGGGAGGCAGCAGUGGGGAAUCUUAGACAAUGGGGGCAACCCUGAUCUAGCCAUGCCGCGUGAGUGAUGAAGGCCUUAGGGUUGUAAAGCUCUUUCAGCUGGGAAGAUAAUGACGGUACCAGCAGAAGAAGCCCCGGCUAACUCCGU